UACACGUAAUGGUAAAUAUUAUGGCAUUUUAUCGUAAUCAUGGCAUUAUAAGGAAUAAUAAGUCAGCCAAAUUUCGUCUACAUCGAUAGGCAGAACUACCAAUGGGAACAGAAGGAUGUAUGAGAUUGUCCGCUAGUUUCGCUAUUAUAUUACAGGUUUGGUCCAACGUAAAUAACGGAUCAUUUUUAAUUCCUGAAACGGUCGAAAUUUGAUAUGUAUUUUCCAUGACAUCUGGUAGCUCUUGCUUU
This is a non-coding RNA of Schizosaccharomyces pombe (fission yeast), 248 nucleotides long. The record is from the annotation of a GenBank genome assembly. NCBI's taxonomy places the organism in Eukaryota, Fungi, Ascomycota, Schizosaccharomycetes, Schizosaccharomycetales, Schizosaccharomycetaceae.